Molecule: ribosomal RNA, 468 nt
Filed under: uncultured bacterium
Lineage: Bacteria
Description: partial 16S ribosomal RNA
Rfam family: Bacterial small subunit ribosomal RNA
Source: RNAcentral
GACGAACGCUGGCGGCGUGCUUAACACAUGCAAGUCGAACGGAAAGGCCCUGCUUUUGUGGGGUGCUCGAGUGGCGAACGGGUGAGUAACACGUGAGUAACCUGCCCUUGACUUUGGGAUAACUUCAGGAAACUGGGGCUAAUACCGGAUAGGAGCUCCUGCUGCAUGGUGGGGGUUGGAAAGUUUCGGCGGUUGGGGAUGGACUCGCGGCUUAUCAGCUUGUUGGUGGGGUAGUGGCUUACCCAGGCUUUGACGGGUAGCCGGCCUGGGAGGGUGACCGGCCACAUUGGGACUGAGAGACGGCCCAGACUCCUACGGGAGGCAGCAGUGGGGAAUAUUGCACAAUGGGCGGAAGCCUGAUGCAGCAACGCCGCGUGCGGGAUGACGGCCUUCGGGUUGUAAACCGCUUUCGCCUGUGACGAAGCGUGAGUGACGGUAAUGGGUAAAGAAGCACCGGCUAACUACGUG